UGAAAUUACAUUAAUCUAAUCUAUUGCGAUUUCGUAAAACUACGCUCUAAAUCUUUUGUAAAAUAAGAUCAAAUAUAAAGUAUCAAAUCUUUCGUAAAACUUCUGCUUGUUUCAUGCCCCAGCUGUGCUGGUUUUUCUGGGGCAGCGCUGCUGUGCUGCUGUCUUGACAGUCCAGCAGCAGUUGUGACUGUUUUCAGGCGGUUUUGGCUGUGGUAUGGGCUGUUUUCUUCGUAGCUUCGGUUGCUUUUUCGUGGUGGAUGUCGGGAUGCUUGAGGCAUAGCUAUGGAAUUGAAUUUCGGUGGUCCGUACUAGAUUUCAGAGUCAUAGCUUAAGCCAUUUUGGAAUGGUUCUUGGGUGUUUUCUUGGUUUUAUUGUCUUCCAUAGUUCUUCUCGGUUUGGCAUUUGGACGAUGUUACACCUAUAGAUGGUAUCCUUUUUUUUUUUUUUUUCACCGUCUCUUAACGCCUUGCGAGAGUUUUGAAUUAAUAAUAUUUGCCGAUUAAAAAAAUAAUGCACUAAACUAUUUUCAUUC
This 532-nucleotide long non-coding RNA is filed under the name Medicago truncatula (barrel medic). Its description in RNAcentral is "long non-coding RNA (MTRU_LNC002592)". Lineage: Eukaryota; Viridiplantae; Streptophyta; Magnoliopsida; Fabales; Fabaceae. The record is from RNAcentral.